CCUACGGGCGACAGCAGUGAGGAAUAUUGGUCAAUGGUCGUAAGCCUGAACCAGCCAAGUCGCGUGCAGGAUGACGGUCCUAUGGAUCGUAAACUUCUUUUAUGCGGGGAUAAAAUGUGGCACGUGUCCUAUUUUGUAUGUACCUCAUGAAUAAGGAUCGGCUAAUUCCGUGCCAGCAGCCGCGGUAAUACGGAGGGUCCGAGCGUUAUCCGGAUUUAUUGGGUUUAAAGGGGGCGUAGGCGGCCUUUUAAGCGAGCCGUGAAAUGCUGUGGCUCAACCAUGGAAUUGCCGUGGGAACUGGGGGGCUGGAGGGGGUGGAAGGUAGGCGGAAUUCGUGGUGUAGCGGUGAAAUGCUUAGAUAUCACGCAGAACCCCGAUUGCGAAGGCAGCAUGCCGAGGCGUGACUGACGCUGAAGCACGAAGGCGUGGGGAUCGAACAGGAUUAGAUACCCCAGUAGUC
Molecule: ribosomal RNA, 460 nt
Filed under: uncultured bacterium
Lineage: Bacteria
Description: partial 16S ribosomal RNA
Rfam family: Bacterial small subunit ribosomal RNA
Source: RNAcentral